Molecule: long non-coding RNA, 643 nt
Organism: Leopardus geoffroyi (Geoffroy's cat)
Lineage: Eukaryota; Metazoa; Chordata; Mammalia; Carnivora; Felidae
Exons: 2
Source: RefSeq, a predicted model, not a curated record
UGAUGUGCAGUACGCAGAAAUCGCGUGCUGUUGGUACCAGAAUUCCCUGAAACAUUCCCAGGAGGCUCGAUUUGAGGUCACUUUGGAACUUUGAGACACCUGUCACCCGGUAGGGAGGUCGGUUGGAGGCCUGCUCUAACUGCACACCAGCCGUAGACGCUAACUCGCAGGGGGUGUGGAGGCAGCCAGCGAGCUUUAGCCAGAGGCUUGGAGGAACCACCUGGGUUGGUCGCUGAACCGCGGGCUCCCAGGACCCGUGUGGGUCCAGCCUGGGUGCCGCCUGAGGCCGAAUGGAUUCAGCGUAAAAAGUCAUCUAUGUGGAGGGACCCUGCCAUCGGUGUCAUUCUGGGAAGCCGAGUGAGGCGCGACAAUUGGGAGGCGUACGUGUAACGCUGGCGUCACAACAGUUUCAGCCGCUGUUUUCAGGUGCCUGCCCGGCUUCUGUUCUGUCCUGCUUCCUACGCUGUUCCACGACAGGAAGUCAGAAGAAAAUGGGCCUCAAGACCACGUUUGGCUUAUAUGCCGCGGAGAGGACUCCUCAAUCUGGACAUUUAUUCAGAUUUUCAGAUAAGAGCCAGGCCCUGUGCCUUUCUGUCUCCUAAGAGUCACAGUUGAUAUUAAAAACUACUCGACAGCAUAGGAA